CUGGCAUUUUCCACGGCGGCCACACCCGCCCAGUUCCCGCGAACCACCGCUGCGCGCAGUCCUGGAAAGCUGUGGGACACGGCGGACUGUUGGCUGCAGACACGUUAAGGCCGCAUUUCACUACUGGGACUAUUUAGCCGGUUAGCGCGCUGCCGCUGGGGUUUAUUCUGCUCUUCGUCCGAAGAGUAUGGCGGAGAGCGACUGGGACACGGUCACCGUGCUGAGGAAGAAGGGUCCGACGGCCGCGCAGGCCAAGUCCAAACAGGCUAUCAUAGCAGCACAGAGGCGGGGAGAAAGUAUUGAAACCACAAAGAAAUGGUCGGCAGGACAGAACAAGCAGCACCUGGUGACAAAGAACACGGCCAAGCUGGACCGCGAGACAGAGGAGCUGCACCACGAAAGAGUCUCACUAGAGGUGGGCAAGGUCAUCCAGCAGGGCCGCCAGAACAAGGGAAUGACGCAGAAGGACCUGGCCACUAAAAUCAACGAGAAGCCCCAAGUUAUUGCCGACUAUGAAAGCGGGAAGGCCAUUCCCAACAACCAGGUCAUGGGCAAGAUUGAGAGGGCCAUCGGAUUGAAGCUGCGUGGAAAGGAUAUAGGACAACCCCUCGAAGCAAAACCCAAGAAAAAAUGAGGACAAAGCCUCGAAAUCAGCCCCCCUGCCUUCAUCCCUGCACAGGAAACAUCUCCGUACUUACCUCCAUUUACCCACUAACCCCACUCCUUGCCCGGGCUGAUCUGACCUGGUGUCUCCUUCAACAUCAGUAGGAAGACUCUGCCAAGCUGUACUCAUGGAUGUGUUGGAUGAAGCCGAUGUAAAGGAUUAACUGACAGGAUCUGAAAUGUCAAUGACCACAUGCAGUGGGUUUCUCCUUGACACGAACAGCGACUUGGCCCCCUUUGCUAAGCGAAGGUCUCCUCUCACACGGCCGAAAUCACUGCUGAUUGAUUUCAAAUUGUAUCGGUUAUUAGUUACUGGCCUAAGAGGGCCCCUGAGCCGGUGGAGUUUGCUUUGGAGCGUACAGAGAACGCCACGUCACAGAACAAGAGUGGAACUUUCGGCAUUUUGAACGAACCUUGGUUUCUGGUUUCAAGGUCUCUUCGUGCUGUAUGUAGGCUGUGCACUUGUCAGUGAGGGUGGAGAACCCUCAAAGUCUUACAGGAUUAGCAAAGAUUUGGCAGUAUUGUCUGCAGUACGAGACACUAUCCAGAGACUUGUACUUUAAGUCAUGAUGUGAGGAAGACGACCUGGUGCCGUUCUCAUUCUUUUUUUUCCCCCGCCCCUUACCGUGGACCAGCAUGAACUUUGGCACAGUGUGUUUGUGAGUCUGAGUGCUUGUCUGCACACUGGCACUCAUCAGACAGAGACAAGACAUCCGCCUUUAACACCGCAGCAGCCAUCGCCCUAUGGUCACUGAUAAGGUGAUAAAGGUAGGAAUGAAAAUGUUCUUACGGCCAAAAAGAGCAAACUCAUGACCUAAAAAGGCCUUUUUUGCCCAGUGAGCAAAAUUCCUUUUAAAAUUAUGUGCAAAAAAAUGCAUUUUUGUCAUCCUGUACCUUGGUAACUGAACAAGAUCCAUGUGGAUUUCCCUUAUGAAUUAUUUUUACAUACAGAUCAUUUUUAAAGUGCAGAGACACAGCUAAAUUUUAGAAUGUGUUGUCUUCGCUGCUUCAGCAGUUACCCUAGUCUUUGGGUGUUAACCCCAGAAGCGUUAACUGUUGGGUUAGUCAGCUGCCAAAGUUUUCCGUUUUACUGAACUGCAGAACACAACACUGAUGACCGAAUGAGGGGAAGGUCAAUGGGCACAAGAGCUUUUGAGCUCUUUGAAUUAGUUCAAUGAAAGGAUUAGAGCCGAAAGGCCUUCAGCUCCAAGAAUGAUGUUCAACUAGAACUCUGUCACUCAUUGACCAUCAGCUCUGAGUUUAGCUAACCAGACUGAAGGUCUAGUAAACCCUUCCUUGUGUCAUCCAUGGUCCUCUCGCCUCUUUUCUGCACUUGUUCUGGUCUCAGCAGGUUGGGAAGAGAGGGGGUUGCAGACCUGCCCGUUCGGUGGAUGUAGAUUUUUGAAAUUCUGCCGCUAAGAGGAAAACGGAUGUGGACUUCUUGGGCUCGUCUGCCACACUUUUCCAAGGCACCGGGUAUUAAAAGAGGGUAGCUUGCCUAUCAGCACAGAGACACCCUCGCAGAACAUCCGUCUCUUCCCGUCAGCCUGCCAAGUCGUUGCCAUGGCAACUAAGGCAAAUUCUCUCAGCACUGACACGUACCAUCCUCAUUUCAUUCCCUUGCUCUCGUACUGUUUCUCAUUAAUAAGGACCAACUCUGACAACCAUUCAUUUUGGUCCAUUGGUAAAAUAAAUUAUUUGUACUUUAUAUUACCCCUCCCCCAUAGACCUGCAUUUAUUCAGCAGGCUCUGAAACUGUACAGCAAAGGAACAUGAUUUGCCCCUGACAUCAUGCCAGGCUUUUUUUUUUUUUUUGCCUGAAAUGUGACUGUUCUUACUGCUCUGGGCAAUAAAGCCACUAGUUCAUGGAAAUAAAACAAACAUUUUGAAAAGCAGAGCAAAUCCAUACACAGAACAAAAAAUAUCACUGUAAAAUCAGCUGAGGCAAGGUUCCAGAAAAAUAUUCAACAGGCAGUUUCCAUGGAAACUUAGGAGUCCUCGCAGAGGGCUACAGA
RNA transcript from Scleropages formosus (Asian bonytongue), 2678 nucleotides. It is a transcript of the gene named endothelial differentiation-related factor 1 homolog, with no coding region annotated. NCBI's taxonomy places the organism in Eukaryota, Metazoa, Chordata, Actinopteri, Osteoglossiformes, Osteoglossidae. The transcript is spliced from 7 exons. The record is from RefSeq and is a predicted model, not a curated record.